UGCAGUCGACGGCAGCACGGGAGCAAUCCUGGUGGCGAGUGGCGAACGGGUGAGUAAUAUAUCGGAACGUGCCCAGUCGUGGGGGAUAACGUAGAGAAAUUUACGCUAAUACCGCAUACGAUCUAAGGAUGAAAGCGGGGGACCGUAAGGCCUCGCGCGAUUGGAGCGGCUGAUAUCAGAUUAGGUUGUUGGUGAGGUAAAAGCUCACCAAGCCGACGAUCUGUAGCUGGUUUGAGAGAACGACCAGCCACACUGGGACUGAGACACGGCCCAGACUCCUACGGGAGGCAGCAGUGGGGAAUUUUGGACAAUGGGCGAAAGCCUGAUCCAGCAAUGCCGCGUGCAGGAAGAAGGCCUUCGGGUUGUAAACUGCUUUUGUACGGAACGAAAAGGCCUGCCUUAAUACGGCGGGCCCAUGACGGUACCGUAAGAAUAAGCACCGGCUAACUACGUGCCAGCAGCCGCGGUAAUACGUAGGGUGCGAGCGUUAAUCGGAAUUACUGGGCGUAAAGCGUGCGCAGGCGGUGAUGUAAGACAGUUGUGAAAUCCCCGGGCUCAACCUGGGAAUUGCAUCUGUGACUGCAUCGCUAGAGUACGGUAGAGGGGGAUGGAAUUCCGCGUGUAGCAGUGAAAUGCGUAGAUAUGCGGAGGAACACCGAUGGCGAAGGCAAUCCCCUGGACCUGUACUGACGCUCAUGCAC
Molecule: ribosomal RNA, 701 nt
Filed under: Polaromonas sp. G4_2
Lineage: Bacteria; Pseudomonadati; Pseudomonadota; Betaproteobacteria; Burkholderiales; Comamonadaceae
Description: bacterial SSU rRNA
Rfam family: Bacterial small subunit ribosomal RNA
Source: RNAcentral